AACCUUACCUGGUCUUGACAUCCACGGAAUUCGGCAGAGAUGCCUUAGUGCCUUCGGGAACCGUGAGACAGGUGCUGCAUGGCUGUCGUCAGCUCGUGUUGUGAAAUGUUGGGUUAAGUCCCGCAACGAGCGCAACCCUUAUCCUUUGUUGCCAGCGGUCCGGCCGGGAACUCAAAGGAGACUGCCAGUGAUAAACUGGAGGAAGGUGGGGAUGACGUCAAGUCAUCAUGGCCCUUACGACCAGGGCUACACACGUGCUACAAUGGCGCAUACAAAGAGAAGCGACCUCGCGAGAGCAAGCGGACCUCAUAAAGUGCGUCGUAGUCCGGAUUGGAGUCUGCAACUCGACUCCAUGAAGUCGGAAUCGCUAGUAAUCGUGGAUCAGAAU
Molecule: ribosomal RNA, 388 nt
Filed under: Pantoea sp. CAR49
Lineage: Bacteria; Pseudomonadati; Pseudomonadota; Gammaproteobacteria; Enterobacterales; Erwiniaceae
Description: bacterial SSU rRNA
Rfam family: Bacterial small subunit ribosomal RNA
Source: RNAcentral